Long non-coding RNA from Betta splendens (Siamese fighting fish), 570 nucleotides. RefSeq lists it as uncharacterized. The record is from RefSeq and is a predicted model, not a curated record. The transcript has 4 exons. NCBI's taxonomy places the organism in Eukaryota, Metazoa, Chordata, Actinopteri, Anabantiformes, Osphronemidae.
CGAGGGAACCAGGAGAUGAGCAACGAGACAACUAAUCUGGACCAAGAGCCGGCAUUCCAAGCAGCCCGGACCUAAGCUGUCAAACCGAUCGCAGGAACCACAGCUGCACAAUUACGUUCAGUGCAGCUGUGGAGGCUGGAGAACUGUGACAACAGAGACCAUAGGACCACCUGGAGAGAAGUUGUCACCUGUGUCUAUGGAGGCUCAAUGCAAUAACAUCCUGCAGCUCAUCGCUCUCUCCAGCCUCUGGUCCAGACAGAGGGGAGCCUCCCAGUCCUAAUCACAUAGAGGAAGUGUCUUUAUCACUGCUUUCUCUGUGCUGCUGGGUUUGGGAGACUCUUCACAUAACCAGUGGUGUUGGCCUCCAUCUGUAAACAGAAGACGGUCAAGACAAGUGGUUGUCGUAAAUACUGUAUAUAUAUAUAUAUAUAUAUAUAUAUAUAUAUAUAUAUAUAUAUAUAUAUAUAUAUAUAUAUAUAUAUAUAUAUAUAUAUAUAUAUAUAUAUAUAUAUAUAUAUAUAUAUAUAUAUAUAAUGUAAUCAAGAAAAUAAAAGAACUGCUUUGUCUGAA